UACGGGGGGGGCAAGCGUUGUUCGGAAUUACUGGGCGUAAAGGGCGCGUAGGCGGCCUGCUAAGUCGGACGUGAAAUCCCUCGGCUCAACCGGGGAACUGCGUCCGAUACUGGUGGGCUCGAAUCCGGGAGAGGGAUGUGGAAUUCCAGGUGUAGCGGUGAAAUGCGUAGAUAUCUGGAGGAACACCGGUGGCGAAAGCGGCUCACUGGAUCUCUUCUGACGCUGAGGCACGAAAGCUAGGGUAGCGAACGGG
Molecule: ribosomal RNA, 253 nt
Filed under: uncultured bacterium
Lineage: Bacteria
Description: partial 16S ribosomal RNA
Rfam family: Bacterial small subunit ribosomal RNA
Source: RNAcentral